AAUGGGGGCAACCCUGAUCCAGCUAUGCCGCGUGUGUGAAGAAGGCUCUAGGGUUGUAAAGCACUUUAGGUAAGGACGAAAAGAAUAUAGUUAAUACCUAUAUUCCGUGACUUAACUUACAGAAUAAGGACCGGCUAACUCCGUGCCAGCAGCCGCGGUAAUACGGAGGGUCCAAGCGUUAAUCGGAAUUACUGGGCGCAAAGCGCGCGUAGGCGGUUUGUCAAGUUGGAUGUGAAAUCCCUGGGCUCAACCUAGGAACUGCAUUCAAAACUUAUAGACUAGAGUACGAUAGAGGAGGGUAGAAUUCCUGGUGUAGCGGUGAAAUGCGUAGAUAUCAGGAGGAAUACCAAUGGCGAAGGCAACUCUCUGGAUCGACACUGACGCUGAGGUGCGAAAGCGUGGGUAGCAAACAGGAUU
RNAcentral lists this ribosomal RNA (417 nucleotides) under uncultured Gammaproteobacteria bacterium. Its description in RNAcentral is "bacterial SSU rRNA". It matches the Rfam family "Bacterial small subunit ribosomal RNA", at positions 370 to 779 of the family's 1533-position model. Lineage: Bacteria; Pseudomonadati; Pseudomonadota; Gammaproteobacteria. The record is from RNAcentral.